RNAcentral lists this ribosomal RNA (394 nucleotides) under uncultured archaeon. Its description in RNAcentral is "bacterial SSU rRNA". It matches the Rfam family "Archaeal small subunit ribosomal RNA", at positions 345 to 744 of the family's 1478-position model. The record is from RNAcentral.
AAACUUUACAAUGCGGGAAACCGUGAUAAGGGAACUCCGAGUGCCCGUAAAAUCGGGCUGUCCAUCUGUGUAAAAAACAGGUGAAGAAAGGCCGGGCAAGACCGGUGCCAGCCGCCGCGGUAAUACCGGCGGCUCGAGUGGUAACCGUUAUUAUUGGGUCUAAAGGGUCUGUAGCCGGCCGGAUAAGUCUCUUGGGAAAUCUGGCAGCUUAACUGUCAGGCUUUCAGGAGAUACUGUCUGGCUCGAGGCCGGGAGAGGUGAGAGGUACUUCAGGGGUAGGGGUGAAAUCUUGUAAUCCUUGAAGGACCACCAGUGGCGAAGGCGUCUCACCAGAACGGACCUGACGGCAAGGGACGAAAGCUAGGGGCACGAACCGGAUUAGAUACCCGGGUAG